GAAUCUGGACAUAUAGUCUGAGGAAGGAUCCCAAACUGAAUCUUCACCUGUCCAUGUUUUCCCAGAGAUGCUGCCUGACCUGCUGAGUUACUCCAGCA
This is a long non-coding RNA of Amblyraja radiata (thorny skate), 98 nucleotides long. RefSeq lists it as uncharacterized. The transcript is spliced from 3 exons. NCBI's taxonomy places the organism in Eukaryota, Metazoa, Chordata, Chondrichthyes, Rajiformes, Rajidae. The record is from RefSeq and is a predicted model, not a curated record.